UCUCUGGAUAUGAGUGAGCAGCCGGGCAG
This 29-nucleotide non-coding RNA is filed under the name Mus musculus (house mouse). The record is from RNAcentral. Lineage: Eukaryota; Metazoa; Chordata; Mammalia; Rodentia; Muridae.